UACGUAGGGGGCUAGCGUUGUCCGGAAUCAUUGGGCGUAAAGCGCGUGUAGGCGGUCCGGUAAGUCCGUUGUGAAAACUCGAGGCUCAACCUCGAGACGUCGAUGGAAACCAUCUGGCUAGAGUCCGGAAGAGGAGAGUGGAAUUCCUGGUGUAGCGGUGAAAUGCGCAGAUAUCAGGAAGAACACCCGUGGCGAAGGCGGCUCUCUGGUACGUGACUGACGCUGAGACGCGAAAGCGUGGGGAGCAAACAGG
RNAcentral lists this ribosomal RNA (253 nucleotides) under uncultured bacterium. RNAcentral's name for it is "partial 16S ribosomal RNA". It matches the Rfam family "Bacterial small subunit ribosomal RNA", at positions 524 to 776 of the family's 1533-position model. The record is from RNAcentral.